GCAGGGUCCCGUUCGAGUCGGAGCUUCGCGAACCCGGUCAGGUCCGGAAGGAAGCAGCCGUAGUGGGGAUUCGGUUGCGAGCGAUUCGGCCCUGCGGU
RNAcentral lists this signal recognition particle RNA (98 nucleotides) under Myxococcota bacterium. Its description in RNAcentral is "signal recognition particle sRNA small type". It matches the Rfam family "Bacterial small signal recognition particle RNA". From Rfam's summary of the family: The signal recognition particle (SRP) is a universally conserved ribonucleoprotein involved in the co-translational targeting of proteins to membranes. Archaeal SRP consists of a 7S RNA and homologues of the eukaryotic SRP19 and SRP54 proteins. The record is from RNAcentral. Lineage: Bacteria; Pseudomonadati; Myxococcota.